UCAGUUUCUUCAUCUGUAAGAUAGAGUCUGAGGCCCCUUCCAGUUCUAAAUGUAAGAUCUUGUGAGCUUUUGACUGUAUGACCUAUGAUACUGAAAGUUGGUUCAUUGUGACAUCAGCAUUCUAGUUGACAAAAGGAAACUGAAAUCAACCAGAAAAUUAAAGAACCAAAUGUUGGCCAGAUGGAUCAGGCAUCAAACAGUUGUUGGGGGAGGGCGGGAGGGGAGAGAACAAGAUAAAGGAAGGGAACUACAGAAAUAGUAUAGAAAAUUAUGUAAGCUAAAGCUGUUACUACAGUUUAACUAACAUUUAUUAAGCCUGACAAUAUACCAAGUGAAUCUGUUUCUGUUUCUCAAUGCUCAAAAGAAGAAGAUUAAAAGAGGAAAUAAAAGAGAAAAUGGGAUGAAAACAUACAACUAUUCCACUACCAAUUAAAUGGGAAACUAUCCUAGGACAGGAAAAAGAGCAACUGGAGCCUGGAAUAACCUAGGUUUGAAUUACAGCCAUGUCAAUUACUUUCUAUGUAAUCCUGAACAAACUACUUUACCCUUCUGGGUCUUACUUUCCUCACACAAAAAUGAAAAGUUAGACUAGUUAACUUUUAAAUUCUAAAUCAACAAUCCUAUUAUCUUAGAAGUUAAAGUAUAGCAUUAUAGUGAUGACUACUUUACAUCCCAUUUGUUAGUAACAUGAAAUAAUUGAUGUGUUAAAGUAUGACCAAGGCUGAAAUAAGAAGAAUCCUGACCUUUAUGUUGGUAGGGACCUGUGAUUUCAGUAAUGUAGGCAACUCAAGUCAAGAAAACCAUCUUCUUCAAUGCAGAUCAAUGACUAAACAAUCAGCCUUAAAAAUCUGAUUAUGGCACAGAGAUUAAGAGAAUUGCUCAAGUUCAUACAACCAGUCUGAGUCAGAGAGGUGAGGUUUCCAGACAGAUGAUUCUGACUCCAAGAAGCACACAGAUCUCCUACGUAAGUUUCAGCUAAUAUCUGAAAAGAUACAUACAUAAGCAAAUGAUUAAGAUAACCAAAGAGAAAUAGAAACCAGUUGCUCCAUUCAAUGCAAAACUGCACAAAAGGAUGACAAAGAAAGCCAUAGUAGAGGGAAGCCUAACUUUCGUUAGGAGAGGGUCAUGCCAAGAAAAGGAUUUUCAAACUCCAUCAAAUAGUCCUGAAGCCAGCUGGUAAUCUGGAAUGGAGAGUUGCAAACUAAGGAAAGCUACAACUGGGGAGUCUCAAGCCAGAAAUCAGGUCUGGACUGCUUCGAACAGAAAUCAAAGGGCUCACAAGUCAUUGUGAAAGGAGACAUGGCUCAGCUAUAGAGCUCUGACAACCACAGCAGGAGAAAAGACUAACUUGGUGCAUGUACAUGUGUGGAAGGGGGAAUAGAGUAGUAGUAUAAAAAGAACUAAGGCCAAACUGAGCUACAACAUCCAUACAGAGCCUAUCAGAGGCACGACAAAGAGUAGAACCAACUCAGAAAUUAAGAGAUUAAGCACAGGAAAGAAGUGAACCUCAUUGAGACCAAAAUUCAAAUUGAACUGCCAAGAGAUUGAAGCAGAGAAUGAGAUUUAGUACUAAUCAGGUCAUCAAAGCUGAUUGUAUCAAAGACAUCCAAGACUACACAGGAGAAAAUGAAACAAGCAUAUACAUACUAUCCAAGAGUACUGGAAAGCACUUGCCCAGGCACAAAAUCCCAAACUAAGAAGAGGAGUUAAACAUAUGAGUAAAGAGAAGAAAACACUAAAUUCAACAAAGAAAUACUAAAAAUUAAGAGAAGCUUACAAGCCCCCACUCCACCCACCUACUUGUACAGAAAAAAAGAUGGCCAGGGGAAGAGGAAGAAAAAUGAAAAAGGUUAUGAUGGGAGCAGGGUUGAAUGAAAACAUUUCAGGUGAAGAGGAGUUGCAGAGGGAACAAGUUUAAGAACCCUGGCAUAGAAUGAUCAGCAAAGAGAUGGUCAUUAAAUUCACAGAAGUUGAUGAGAUCACCAACAUCAGACAUUACAAAUAAAAGGAACAUGUAGUGGAAAGAAUGCUGGAUUCAUGGUUCAAAUCUCAGGUCUGCUGCUGGAUCCCUGUGUGACAUUGGGCAAAACACAACCUUCUUGGCUCUCAGUUUCCUUGUAAGUAAAAUAAGCCACAUCCAAAAUCAGCUGUUAAGUCUUGUGGAUUGAA
Long non-coding RNA from Sarcophilus harrisii (Tasmanian devil), 2169 nucleotides. RefSeq lists it as uncharacterized. Lineage: Eukaryota; Metazoa; Chordata; Mammalia; Dasyuromorphia; Dasyuridae. The transcript is spliced from 5 exons. The record is from RefSeq and is a predicted model, not a curated record.